This 74-nucleotide transfer RNA is filed under the name Myxococcales bacterium 68-20. Its description in RNAcentral is "tRNA-Arg". It matches the Rfam family "tRNA". From Rfam's summary of the family: Transfer RNA (tRNA) molecules are approximately 80 nucleotides in length. Their secondary structure includes four short double-helical elements and three loops (D, anti-codon, and T loops). Lineage: Bacteria; Pseudomonadati; Myxococcota; Myxococcia; Myxococcales. RNAcentral also lists the same sequence under 7 other names. The record is from RNAcentral.
GCGCCCGUAGCUCAGCUGGAUAGAGCGACGGCCUCCGGAGCCGUAGGUCGCAGGUUCGAAUCCUGCCGGGCGCG